Molecule: long non-coding RNA, 248 nt
Filed under: Homo sapiens (human)
Lineage: Eukaryota; Metazoa; Chordata; Mammalia; Primates; Hominidae
Description: non-protein coding lnc-SOX17-1:1
Source: RNAcentral
GCCACGCAUCCAUCCAUUCGUCCUGCCUCCAAAUCCUACCCAUGUUUUCCCACAGAAUCUGGACUGCACUGAAACCUGGAAAACAACAGACGCUGUUGGAUCGGGAAAUAUCUGACGGCAAACAGCACCAGGAGAUUACCAGUGAGGGAGAUACUCUCACCAUCGUCUGUUUCAUAGAUGAGGACACUGCCAAGGAUUUGCGUGCAUCACACAGCUCACGGCUGUCAGAGCUGGAAGUGGAGUGCGUU